Molecule: ribosomal RNA, 846 nt
Filed under: uncultured Clostridia bacterium
Lineage: Bacteria; Bacillati; Bacillota; Clostridia
Description: bacterial SSU rRNA
Rfam family: Bacterial small subunit ribosomal RNA
Source: RNAcentral
UUCAUGUACGCAAAUAGUGAUAACACAUUUUAGCGGAGUGAUGAGUGCUGGAUAAAUUGCUAGCGGCGGACGGGUGCGUAACACGUGGGUAACCUGCCCCUAUCACUGGGAUAACACACUGAAAAGUGUGCUAAUACCAGAUAACAUAAGCUUUUGGCAUCAUUAGCUUAUCAAAGAAUUUCGGAUAGGGAUGGGCCCGCGUCUGAUUAGCUAGUUGGUGAGGUAACGGCUCACCAAGGCAACGAUCAGUAGCCGACCUGAGAGGGUGAUCGGCCACACUGGAACUGAGACACGGUCCAGACUCCUACGGGAGGCAGCAGUGGGGAAUAUUGCACAAUGGGCGAAAGCCUGAUGCAGCAACGCCGCGUGAGCGAUGAAGGCCUUCGGGUCGUAAAGCUCUGUCCUAUGGGAAGAUAAUGACGGUACCAUAGGAGGAAGCCCCGGCUAACUACGUGCCAGCAGCCGCGGUAAUACGUAGGGGGCAAGCGUUAUCCGGAAUUACUGGGCGUAAAGGGUGCGUAGGCGGUUUAUCAAGUCAGGGGUGAAAGGCUACGGCUCAACCGUAGUGAGCCUCUGAAACUGGUGAACUUGAGUGUAGGAGAGGAAAGUGGAAUUCCCAGUGUAGCGGUGAAAUGCGUAGAUAUUGGGAGGAACACCAGUGGCGAAGGCGACUUUCUGGACUACAACUGACGCUGAGGCACGAAAGCGUGGGGAGCAAACAGGAUUAGAUACCCUGGUAGUCCACGCUGUAAACGAUGAGUACUAGGUGUCGGCUGUCAAAGGUCGGUGCCGGCGUUAACACAUUAAGUACUCCGCCUGGGGAGUACGCUCGCAAGAGUGAAACUC